GUUAGGUGUAGUAUAACCCGGUAUCAACAGGGUUAGGUGUAGUAUAACCCGGUAUCAACAGGGUUAGGUGUAGUAUAACAUGGUAUCAACAGGGUUAGGUGUAGUAUAACACGGUAUCAACAGGGUUAGGUGUAGUAUAACACGGUAUCAGGGUUAGGUGUAGUAUAACACGGUAUCAACAGGGUUAGGUGUAGUAUAACACG
Long non-coding RNA from Oncorhynchus keta (chum salmon), 203 nucleotides. RefSeq lists it as uncharacterized. NCBI's taxonomy places the organism in Eukaryota, Metazoa, Chordata, Actinopteri, Salmoniformes, Salmonidae. The record is from RefSeq and is a predicted model, not a curated record. The transcript has 3 exons.